GACGAACGCUGGCGGCGUGCUUAACACAUGCAAGUCGAGCGGUAAGGCCCUUUCGGGGUACACGAGCGGCGAACGGGUGAGUAACACGUGGGUGACCUGCCCUUAGCUCUGGGAUAAGCCUGGGAAACUGGGUCUAAUACCGGAUAUGACUCCAUAACGCAUGUUGUGGGGUGGAAAGCCUUGUGCGGCUAGGGAUGGGCCCGCGGCCUAUCAGCUUGUUGGUGGGGUGAUGGCCUACCAAGGCGACGACGGGUAGCCGGCCUGAGAGGGCGACCGGCCACACUGGGACUGAGACACGGCCCAGACUCCUACGGGAGGCAGCAGUGGGGAAUCUUGCGCAAUGGGCGAAAGCCUGGCGCAGCGACGCCGCGUGGGGAUGACGGCCUCGGU
RNAcentral lists this ribosomal RNA (390 nucleotides) under uncultured bacterium. Its description in RNAcentral is "bacterial SSU rRNA". It matches the Rfam family "Bacterial small subunit ribosomal RNA", at positions 28 to 423 of the family's 1533-position model. The record is from RNAcentral.